ACUCCUACGGGAGGCAGCAGUGGGGAAUAUUGGACAAUGGGGGAACCCUGAUCCAGCCAUGCCGCGUGUGUGAAGAAGGCCUUUUGGUUGUAAAGCACUUUAAGCGAGGAGGAGGCUUACCUGGUUAAUAACCCGGGNUAAGUGGACGUACUCGCAGAAAUAAGCCACCGGCUAACUCUGUGCCAGCAGCCGCGGUAAUACAGAGGGUGCAAGCGUUAAUCGGAUUUACUGGGCGUAAAGCGCGCGUAGGUGGCUAAUUAAGUCAAAUGUGAAAUCCCCGAGCUUAACUUGGGAAUUGCAUUCGAUACUGGUUAGCUAGAGUAUGGGAGAGGAUGGUAGAAUUCCAGGUGUAGCGGUGAAAUGCGUAGAGAUCUGGAGGAAUACCGAUGGCGAAGGCAGCCAUCUGGCCUAAUACUGACACUGAGGUGCGAAAGCAUGGGGAGCAAACAGGAUUAGAUACCCUGGUAGCUACGAGU
Molecule: ribosomal RNA, 476 nt
Filed under: uncultured bacterium
Lineage: Bacteria
Description: bacterial SSU rRNA
Rfam family: Bacterial small subunit ribosomal RNA
Source: RNAcentral